CCAACGUCUGAAAGCCAACUCUUCAAUCAUUUCUCAGAGGGAAGAGCCCUGGGGACAAGGCCAGGGCUAAGAGGGACGAGAGAGCCAGGAAAGUCCAGGCCAAGGGUGCCUCUUGAACCUUGUGGCUGAGGGGAGCAGGCUGUUGGGAUGAUCAGCAGACAUGGAAAGUCCUUCCAGCUCUACCCCUGUGUAUUUCCCAGCGAAUGCUCUCGGAUUUUAGGACUUACCUCCUAAAAUUUUCACUUGGUCUAAAGCAAAAGGCCCCAGGCUUUCUGUCAGGAGCUGCAACUUUUCAUCUGAUGAGGAGGUAAUGAGAUUUGCUGAAUUCUGGCUAUGGGGUUCUGUGUUAAAUACUUUUUUUAAUCUUUUUUUUUUUUGAGACAAACUUCACAUAACAUAAAAUUCACCAUUUUAAUUAUUUUGAAGAGUACAAUUUGGUGGUUUCCAGACCACAAUGUGCAACCAUCAUCACUAUCCAUGUUCAGAAUAUUUCCAGCACAUCAUCUCACAGAAUCCCAUCAACACUACUAUGAGUCUAAACUGCAGUUCAUUUAUUGCAGAGCCCUGUUCACAUGGGUUCUCAGAGACAUUUUCAUUCUCGCUUCUCACCACGCUGGAGAUGAGAACUAGAUGUGGUUUUCUAGAUACAGUCUACAUUUCCCUUUGAAUCUGGAAGUCCGGCUUCAAGCCCCUUUGAAGAGGCAGGCCCAUGGGAUGAAUUCUGACCAAUGGAUUUGGCUAAGAUUUAAGAGCCAGUGCACCAUCCUUCAGCUAACUCUUCUCUCCACCUGCUGCAAGGACAUAAACAUUUCAAUGGCACAAAGAUAGAGCACCUUGAAUUGUUACUGCAAAGAAGACAUCUUUUCUGGAGAGUCACCCAAGCAGUGGAUUUGUGAAUAAAUAAAUCUUGUGUUAAGGUUCUGAUAUUUUGUGGUUAAUUUGUGACCAUAGUACUACAUAGCCUAUUCUAAUGAAUAUGUAGUGACUAUCAGAAUCACUAGAGAACAUACAAACAUAAUUCAUAUUAUAGGUCAAAACUUCAGU
This 1044-nucleotide long non-coding RNA is filed under the name Homo sapiens (human). RNAcentral's name for it is "non-protein coding LINC02126:8". The record is from RNAcentral. Lineage: Eukaryota; Metazoa; Chordata; Mammalia; Primates; Hominidae.